RNAcentral lists this ribosomal RNA (1537 nucleotides) under uncultured bacterium. RNAcentral describes it as "bacterial SSU rRNA". It matches the Rfam family "Bacterial small subunit ribosomal RNA". The record is from RNAcentral.
AGAGUUUGAUCCUGGCUCAGGACGAACGCUGGCGGCGUGCUUAACACAUGCAAGUCGAGGGGGCCCAGCAAUGGGUCACCGGCGAACGGGUGCGUAACACGUAAGCGACCUACCGCGGAAUGGGGGAUAGCCGGCCCAACGGCCGGGUAAUACCGCAUACGCUUCUUUUGCUGCAUGGCAGGAGAAGGAAACCCUUUGGGGGUUCUGCGCGGGGCUUGCGGCCUAUCAGCUAGUUGGUGGGGUCAUGGCCCACCAAGGCGACGACGGGUAGCUGGUCUGAGAGGAUGGCCAGCCACAUUGGGACUGAGAGACGGCCCAGACUCCUACGGGAGGCAGCAGUGGGGAAUCUUGCGCAAUGGGCGAAAGCCUGACGCAGCGACGCCGCGUGGGGGAUGACGGCCUUCGGGUUGUAAACCCCUGUUGCCCGGGACGAACAACGAGUUUCGACUCGUCUGACGGUACCGGGUGAGGAAGCACCGGCUAACUCUGUGCCAGCAGCCGCGGUAAUACAGAGGGUGCGAGCGUUGUCCGGAAUCACUGGGCGUAAAGGGCGCGUAGGCGGUGCGUCAAGCGUGCGGUGAAAGCCCGAGGCUCAACUUCGGGUCGGCCGUGCGAACUGGCGCACUCGAGCACAGUAGAGGCAGGUGGAAUUCCGGGUGUAGCGGUGGAAUGCGUAAGAUCCGGAAGAACACCGGUGGCGAAGGCGGCCUGCUGGGCUGUGGCUGACGCUGAAGGCGCGACAGCGUGGGGGAGCAAACCAGGAUUUAAAUACCCUGGUAANUCCACGCCGUAAACAAUGGGCACUAAGGUUGCUUUGGGGGGAAGCGAACCCCCUGGGUGNCCCGGCAGCUAACGCAUGAAANUGCCCCCAGCCUUGGGGGAGUACGGCCGCAAGGCUGAAACUCAAAAGGAAUUGACGGGGCCCGCACAAACGGUGGAGCAUGUGGUUUAAUUGACGCAACGCGAAGAACCUAACCUAGGCUUUGACAGUGCACGGGACCGCCCAUCAGAAACGGGGGCCUCUCUUCGGAGUCCGUGCACAGGUGCUGCAUGGCUGUCGUCAGCUCGUGUCGUGAGAUGUUGGGUUAAGUCCCGCAACGAGCGCAACCCUUGCCCUUAGUUACCAGCGGGUAAAGCCGGGGACUUAGGGGGACUGCCGGUGCCAAACCGGAGGAAGUUGGGGACGACGUCNAGUCAUNAUGGUCCUUANNGUCUAGGGCUACACACGUGCUACAAUGGUCGGUACAGAGGGUUGCGAACUGGCAACAGGGAGCCAAUCCCGGAAAGCCGACCUCAGUGCGGAUUGUCGUCUGCAACUCGACGGCAUGAAGCUGGAAUCGUCUAGUAAUCGUGGAUGAGCUACGCCACGGUGAAUACGUUCCCGGGCCUUGUACACACCGACCCGUCAGCGCCAUGGAAGCUGUGAGCGCCCGAAGUCCGUGCCAGAACCCGCCAAGGGAGCGUAAGUCGGCCGUAAGGCUGAGCUGCAGUGAACGUGGGGCUGAAGUCUGUAACAAGGUAGCCGUAGGGGAACCUG